GAUGAACGCUGGCGGCGUGCCUAAUACAUGCAAGUCGAGCGAACGGACGAGAAUCUUUCUUCUCUUCUGUUAGCGACGGACGGGUGAUUCACACGUGGAUACCCUAUCUAUAGGACUAAGAUACCUUCACGAACCCUUAUCUCAUACCGGUUCUUAUUUUGAACCUCAUGGUUCAUAAGUGAAAGACCUUCUUGCUGUCACUUUAGAUGGUUCCCCGCUGCAUUAGCUAGUUGGUAAGGUAACGGCUUACCAAGGCAACGAUGCAUAGCCGACCUGAGAGGAUGAUCGGCCACACUGGAACUGAGACACGGUCCAGACUCCUACGGGAGGCAGCAGUAGGGAAUAUUGCGCAAUGGGCGAAAGCCUGACGGAGCAACGCCGCGUGAGUGAAGAAGGUCUUCGGAUCGUAAAACACUGUUAGUAGGGAAGAACAGAUGUGAAAGAAAAUGUGCACAUCUUGACGGUACCUAAACAGAAAGCCACGGCUAACUACGUG
Molecule: ribosomal RNA, 496 nt
Filed under: uncultured bacterium
Lineage: Bacteria
Description: partial 16S ribosomal RNA
Rfam family: Bacterial small subunit ribosomal RNA
Source: RNAcentral